UACGAAGGGGGCUAGCGUUGCUCGGAAUCACUGGGCGUAAAGCGCACGUAGGCGGCUCCUUAAGUCAGGGGUGAAAUCCUGGAGCUCAACUCCAGAACUGCCUUUGAUACUGGGGAGCUCGAGUCCGGGAGAGGUGAGUGGAACUGCGAGUGUAGAGGUGAAAUUCGUAGAUAUUCGCAAGAACACCAGUGGCGAAGGCGGCUCACUGGCCCGGUACUGACGCUGAGGUGCGAAAGCGUGGGGAGCAAACAGG
Molecule: ribosomal RNA, 253 nt
Filed under: uncultured bacterium
Lineage: Bacteria
Description: partial 16S ribosomal RNA
Rfam family: Bacterial small subunit ribosomal RNA
Source: RNAcentral